Molecule: long non-coding RNA, 254 nt
Filed under: Brassica napus (rape)
Lineage: Eukaryota; Viridiplantae; Streptophyta; Magnoliopsida; Brassicales; Brassicaceae
Description: long non-coding RNA (BNAP_LNC025934)
Source: RNAcentral
UAACAGUAUAUAUUAACCAUAAUUUCAUAUUCUAUUUUAAAAAUAUGUUAUUAGAAAACUAUGAAAUUUGGGAAACUGCCAAAAAUACUAUUUUCAAAGUACCACUUUUCAUGUUUACACUAACCACUUUUACCCUAAUCUUUAAUGAAGGGUAAAAUACAUUAAUAACCUUUUGAUUAACUUUGACAAAAAAAUAACUAAUCUAAACUUAAAACAUCAACUCUAAACCCUAAACGUAAACCCUAAACCCUAAA